This 120-nucleotide transfer RNA is filed under the name Trialeurodes vaporariorum (greenhouse whitefly). Its description in RNAcentral is "tRNA-Leu for anticodon CAA". It matches the Rfam family "tRNA". From Rfam's summary of the family: Transfer RNA (tRNA) molecules are approximately 80 nucleotides in length. Their secondary structure includes four short double-helical elements and three loops (D, anti-codon, and T loops). Lineage: Eukaryota; Metazoa; Arthropoda; Insecta; Hemiptera; Aleyrodidae. The record is from RNAcentral.
GUCAGGAUGGCCGAGCGGUCUAAGGCGCCAGACUCAAGGUGGUUAACCUUGCCCAUUAACAUGGGUACAUGAGAAUUCUGGUCCUCUCUGAGGGCGUGGGUUCGAACCCCACUUCUGACA